Molecule: non-coding RNA, 69 nt
Organism: Ictidomys tridecemlineatus (thirteen-lined ground squirrel)
Lineage: Eukaryota; Metazoa; Chordata; Mammalia; Rodentia; Sciuridae
Source: Rfam
GGGGUUGUGGCUCAGUGGCAGAGCACUUGCCUAUCAAGUGUGAGGCACUGGGUUUGAUUCUCAGCACCA